Acanthopagrus latus (yellowfin seabream) is the source of this 949-nucleotide long non-coding RNA. RefSeq lists it as uncharacterized. The transcript has 3 exons. NCBI's taxonomy places the organism in Eukaryota, Metazoa, Chordata, Actinopteri, Spariformes, Sparidae. The record is from RefSeq and is a predicted model, not a curated record.
AGCUGUUAAUGUCAGUAUGAAGGGGUUGUUAAGGGGUUGGAGAUGUCCUCGAUGGAGACCAGGGAUCUGCUCCAGGAAGCAGUUUUACUGAAUGAUGAGAUCUGGAUAUUUUCCGAGUAGAGACAACGGCUGCUCAGUCCAUGUUCCAGGACCUGAUGGUGUUCCAGGUUUUACUUGGGGAAAGGAGCAGCAGCACAAAGGCGUCUGCAGCAAAGGACACGGACCAAAGGACGGGAAGGACAGGCGUGAGAGAAACAGUGGUAGAGCAACAUGUACAACGAGGGAGUUGGACUGUGAGCUCAGAGAGGACGGAGCUGGAUGUACACCUACUUGCCAUGCUGGUGUCGAUUAAGAGAAUAUUCGAGAACAGCAAACAAAGAAAAUUGUGAGUUGCUGGGGAACGAAGGACUGGAGAAGCACAUUUCACACCAAUAACAUAAGUAGUGUGUAACUUGUGUGGUAUUAGUAUUUUUACUUCAGUAAAGGAUCUGUAUACUUUGUCCACUGGUUACUAUUUUAUAACAUAAUACUCAAGCACCCAGACAGUUUUCUCCACCAGACUGGCGUGGCUGUAGUUUGAUCAAGUUUGAGUGACAGUGAUCCGGCAAACUGGUGAAUGGAGGUUUGUAAAAACACUCACCGUGAAAGCUCCUCUCACUUUAAUGCAAUAAGAAGAAAACAGAAAGAAACACAAGGCCCGAGAAACAGCUGUUGUGUGAGACAGCCACAGUCAAACACAAAACACACAUUCAAAUCAGAUCAUUGUUUUCUAAAGUGAACAUACAGUGCAAAAGUCAAAUUCAGGACUAAAUUUCCUUGUGCAAAGUUCUCGUCACCUUUUACAGAGGAGCAAUAGAAAGGCUCCUGACUGGAAGUGUCACAGACUAGCUUGGCUCCCGAACGACUCGGGACAGACAGGUUCUGCAGCGGGUGAUUAAAAUCUCCCCCG